GUCUUCAGCCAUACCACCUUGAACAUGCCUGAUCUCAUCUGAUCUCAGAAGCUAACAAACAAAGAAGUCACACCUAGAAACAUCUUAGUCUACUCAAUUUAAAAGACAGUAAGUGAGUUGGUGGUG
Molecule: ribosomal RNA, 126 nt
Filed under: Spermophilus dauricus (Daurian ground squirrel)
Lineage: Eukaryota; Metazoa; Chordata; Mammalia; Rodentia; Sciuridae
Source: RNAcentral